UACGUAGGGAGCCAGCGUUGUCCGGAUUUACUGGGCGUAAAGAGCGCGUAGGCGGUUUUGUAAGCGGAGGGUGAAAUCUCGGGGCUCAACUCCGAGGCUGCUUUCCGAACUGCAAGACUAGAGUACGGGAGAGGAUAGUGGAAUUCCUGGUGUAGCGGUGGAAUGCGUAAAUAUCAGGAGGAACACCCGUGGCGAAGGCUGCUAUCUGGAACGUAACUGACGCUGAGGCGCGAAAGCUAGGGGAGCGAACGGG
RNAcentral lists this ribosomal RNA (253 nucleotides) under uncultured bacterium. Its description in RNAcentral is "partial 16S ribosomal RNA". It matches the Rfam family "Bacterial small subunit ribosomal RNA", at positions 524 to 776 of the family's 1533-position model. The record is from RNAcentral.